Non-coding RNA from Danio rerio (zebrafish), 81 nucleotides. Lineage: Eukaryota; Metazoa; Chordata; Actinopteri; Cypriniformes; Danionidae. The record is from Rfam.
UUCUUGCUUCAGCAGCACGAGCAAUAUUGGAGGCAUUGGCCAAGGAGUAACUCCAAUAUUUACAUGCUGCUAAAGCAAGAC